CUCCUGGUUUAGUUGUUCACUAGGGACGACUUGCUCUUUGGAUACGGUUUCAGCCUGCACAGUUUUAUCACCGGUAGAUUCUUCAGAAACAGCUUCUACUUCCUUCUCCUCUUCAGGUUUGUCCAAAGACUUAAUUUCUUCAGACACCUUGUAAGUUUCAGUAUCCUCGAUGACUUUGUGUUCU
Molecule: long non-coding RNA, 184 nt
Organism: Aricia agestis (brown argus)
Lineage: Eukaryota; Metazoa; Arthropoda; Insecta; Lepidoptera; Lycaenidae
Exons: 3
Source: RefSeq, a predicted model, not a curated record